Molecule: ribosomal RNA, 440 nt
Filed under: uncultured bacterium
Lineage: Bacteria
Description: bacterial SSU rRNA
Rfam family: Bacterial small subunit ribosomal RNA
Source: RNAcentral
AACGCGAAGAACCUUACCAGGGUUUGACAUCCUGUGCUCACUCCUGAAAGGGAGCUUCCCCGCAAGGGGCGCAGAGACAGGUGCUGCAUGGCUGUCGUCAGCUCGUGUCGUGAGAUGUUGGGUUAAGUCCCGCAACGAGCGCAACCCUCGCCUUUAGUUGCCAUCAUUCAGUUGGGCACUCUAGAGGGACCGCCGGCGGCAAGCCGGAGGAAGGUGGGGAUGACGUCAAGUCAGCAUGGCCCUUACGUCCCGGGCUACACACGUGCUACAAUGGGAGGGACAACGAGUCGCGAACCCGCGAGGGCAAGCUAAUCUCACAAACCCUCUCUCAGUUCGGAUUGAAGGCUGCAACUCGCCUUCAUGAAGUCGGAAUCGCUAGUAACCGUAGAUCAGCUACGCUGCGGUGAAUACGUUCCCGGGCCUUGUACACACCGAGUAUA